This 438-nucleotide long non-coding RNA is filed under the name Mustela putorius furo (domestic ferret). RNAcentral's name for it is "lncRNA (ENSMPUG00000029792.1)". Lineage: Eukaryota; Metazoa; Chordata; Mammalia; Carnivora; Mustelidae. The record is from RNAcentral.
GUCAUGAUCUCAGGGGCCUGGAAUCGAGUCCCGCAUCGGGCUCUCUGCUCUGCAGGGAGUCUGCUUCCUCCUCUCCCUCUCUCUGCCUGCCUGUCUGCCUGCUUGUGAUCUCUGUCUGUCAAAUAAAUAAAUAAAACCUUUAAAAAAAAUUAAAAGUAGUUUUCACCAUUUACAAAAUCGGCUAGGCAAGUGAAUUUGGAAUAGCUACUCAUUAACUUUUUUUUUUUUUUAAACGAAAAAUUCUUAAAUCUCUAUCUCAGGAUUUAUGUCGAUUCUGGAUGACUGUUGAAUAUAGUAGUACCGUUCCACCUUUCUCUUUACAGCUGCCGCUGACAGUUUCAGCUCACAUUGUUUUUCUCCCAUUCCUUACAGGUUCUAAAGCCUGCCUCUGCUAUGUAACAACAUUUUAUGAAAUGACGGCUUGUUUUGUUUGAUUUU